CGCGCCACUCCGGUUGUUCAUCUCUCUCGUUGGCCCCUCGGGGGCGGCAGACCUGGCUAAACUGGAGGGCUCUGGUCAUCAUUAGCCCAAAACCGGACCAGGACCCCUGGGUCAGGCACGGAGACAUGCUAACUGCAAAGUACAGGAAAGCACACUACGAAAGAUGCUGAGUGGAACUUCUGGUCAAGAUGGCGGCGCAGACAGACAUGGCUCACCUCUUCGCACAACCACAGCAAACUUACAACUAAAAUACAGAGCAACCAUCACUCAGAACCACCAGAAAUUGAGUUGAUGAAAGUCUGGCAACUACAGAAUUAAAGAAACCACAUCCAUCCAGACUGAUCCUGGCACAAGUGUCUUCUCUGAUCUUCCUAUUAUUUUAUAUCUCCAUUUUACAGAUGAAGAAGCCGAGGCCUAGAAAGGUUAAGCAAUUUGCUCAAGAGCACUCAGCCAGUAAGCAGGGAGCUGCAAUUUGAACUCAGGCAGACCAACUCCAGAGCCUGCUCUUAAAACAGCUACAUUGUGUUAUGCAAAGAUGAGUUCACCCAGGUUAAAAGGCCAGGGGCAGGGUAUAAAGGUGCCCUGCAAAUAAACAAGAAUGAAGCUUCAGCAAAUGUUGACCAGCCCGAAAACCUCUGGGAGUGGUGGGAGGUGCAGGUGGAAGGUCUCAGGACAAGGUUGGAUGCAGUGCAGCUUGGCCCCAGCUCCCGGAGCACAUCGGUACACAGAGCUC
This is a long non-coding RNA of Artibeus jamaicensis (Jamaican fruit-eating bat), 733 nucleotides long. RefSeq lists it as uncharacterized. NCBI's taxonomy places the organism in Eukaryota, Metazoa, Chordata, Mammalia, Chiroptera, Phyllostomidae. The record is from RefSeq and is a predicted model, not a curated record. The transcript is spliced from 4 exons.